Molecule: long non-coding RNA, 580 nt
Organism: Octopus sinensis (East Asian common octopus)
Lineage: Eukaryota; Metazoa; Mollusca; Cephalopoda; Octopoda; Octopodidae
Exons: 2
Source: RefSeq, a predicted model, not a curated record
CAUAUAUGUACGCGUGUGCGCGCGGGGAUUUUGGGGUUUUUUUUUAUUUACAUGUUGCAGAAGAAACAGUUAUAGUCAAUACGAGACUAGUACCUAUCUAAUUGACUUCCGGAAGUAUAAAAAGACAAUGUAGAUCGCGCGGGAUUUGAACUUAAAAUAAAGAACGUUGUAGCUAUAUUUUGUUCGAUGAUCUCUUGUAUCUGUUUUCCUCCAUUUAUGUGGUGUAAAAGACCUUUCAAUCGUUUAACUCAGCUUAACUUAGAGUCAGCUCUACUAGAGCGGACCUAUGACCAUAAGCGUUCCAACAGUGCCUAUCCAGUUUUUAAGGCAUAAUGUAUAGUGGGCUAUAUAACCCAGUAUGUUGAUCAUUUCUUUCAGGCAAAGAAUUUAAUGCUGUUCUUGCUGUUAUAUCAGAAUUGGACUCAAUACUGGAAUUUGAAAAACUAGAUCAAAAGGAUUCAAUCUUGAUUUCUACAGAAGGCAUAUUUGUUAUAUUCUGCAAGGAUUGAAUCAACAAAGUACUACAGUGUCCCUUUAGCCAAGACAAUGUGUGAAGAAAAGAAUGAAGCAACAAAGGAAU